GAUGAACGCUGGCGGCGUGCUUAACACAUGCAAGUCGAACGAACCUUCGGGUUAGUGGCGGACGGGUGAGUAACGCGUGAGAAUCUGCCCUCAGGAGGGGGACACAGCUGGAAACGGCCCCGCUAAUACCCCAUAUGCCGCGAGGUGAAAUGAAUUUCGCCUGAGGAUGAGCUCGCGUCUGAUUAGCUAGUUGGUGGGGUAAAGGCCUACCAAGGCAUCGAUCAGUAGCUGGUCUGAGAGGAUGAUCAGCCACACUGGGACUGAGACACGGCCCAGACUCCUACGGGAGGCAGCAGUGGGGAAUUUUCCGCAAUGGGCGAAAGCCUGACGGAGCAACGCCGCGUGAGGGA
RNAcentral lists this ribosomal RNA (350 nucleotides) under uncultured bacterium. RNAcentral describes it as "bacterial SSU rRNA". It matches the Rfam family "Bacterial small subunit ribosomal RNA", at positions 28 to 408 of the family's 1533-position model. The record is from RNAcentral.